UAAAUAUAUAUUUUCUUUCUACCUCCUAGACCAAAACACUCAAUUAUAUUCAAAACCGAAUAAUCAUAUGCAUAAUUCAAAGAUAAUAUAUUAGGGAAUUAUACUUGGAUGAGAUUAAAUCUAUAAGCCAACCCAACUAGCUUAUAUCUAUAAACAUGCAACAUUUUAUAAUAAUUUUUUUUUUUUUCGGUUUCAAAGUUUCAAACAUUCAAGUAACAUCGUAGUUUGUGACCAACUAAAAAAUAGAGUAACAAUGUGACAACGCACCAAUACACAAGGCAUAUACUUAUACUUAUGCCAUUCAUAUCACUUUCUCAUAUGAUCUCUUGUUGUUUGGAUCCCAAAAAUCAAAGGUUGAACUUAAUAAAUUUUGAAUGGCUGAUUUUAUAGGCGGCUCUAACUAUUUUUUAAUGAACAUAUAAUGACUUGUUUUAGUACUAAGAAUUACAAAUUUAUACGUGGAUAGAGAACUCAAUAAAUAAAAUAUUUCUUGACCUUAAAAAAAAAAAAAACAAACUUGUUUGACUAGAGCAUCUCUCCUCUUUAAUUUUAAUUUUCGAAGUGAUUUUAUUUGAAUCUCUCAAUUUGCUCUUUUGACCUCACAUAAUCUUUAUACCCCACACAUUUUAGUGAAAUUUAAAAUUAUUAUCUACACCCAUUAUUUCUUUCUAAAUUACCCACACUAACUUAAACUCAUCAUGCACUUUUAUAUUCACACCCCAUCAGUUAGGGGUGGGCACCGUCCGGUUCGGGCCCGUUUUCGUCUCAAAUUAGAAUUGAAACAGGUACUAUUUACCUUAUUCAGUUCGAUCCAGUUUUAUAAAAAUAAAAAAUUAUAAAACUAUUCGAUUCGAGUUG
RNAcentral lists this long non-coding RNA (858 nucleotides) under Prunus persica (peach). RNAcentral's name for it is "long non-coding RNA (PPER_LNC001850)". Lineage: Eukaryota; Viridiplantae; Streptophyta; Magnoliopsida; Rosales; Rosaceae. The record is from RNAcentral.